CAGUCGCCGCGGUAAUACGAAGGGGGCUAGCGUUGCUCGGAAUGACUGGGCGUAAAGGGCGCGUAGGCGGAUUGCGCAGUCAGAUGUGAAAUUCCUGGGCUUAACCUGGGGGCUGCAUUUGAGACGCGUAGUCUAGAGUGUGAAAGAGGGUCGUGGAAUUCCCAGUGUAGAGGUGAAAUUCGUAGAUAUUGGGAAGAACACCGGUGGCGAAGGCGGCGACCUGGUUCAUAACUGACGCUGAGGCGCGAAAGCGUGGGGAGCAAACAGGAUUAGAUACCCCCGUAGUCCCUGUCUCUUAACA
Molecule: ribosomal RNA, 301 nt
Filed under: uncultured bacterium
Lineage: Bacteria
Description: partial 16S ribosomal RNA
Rfam family: Bacterial small subunit ribosomal RNA
Source: RNAcentral